GACGAACGCUGGCGGCGUGCUUAACACAUGCAAGUCGAACGGAAAGGCCCUGCUUUUGUGGGGUGCUCGAGUGGCGAACGGGUGAGUAACACGUGAGUAACCUGCCCUUGACUUUGGGAUAACUUCAGGAAACUGGGGCAAAUACCGGAUAGGAGCUCCUGCUGCAUGGUGGGGGUUGGAAAGUUUCGGCGGUUGGGGAUGGACUCGCGGCUUAUCAGCUUGUUGGUGGGGUAGUGGCUUACCAAGGCUUUGACGGGUAGCCGGCCUGAGAGGGUGACCGGCCACAUUGGGACUGAGAGACGGCCCAGACUCCUACGGGAGGCAGCAGUGGGGAAUAUUGCACAAUGGGCGGAAGCCUGAUGCAGCAACGCCGCGUGCGGGAUGACGGCCUUCGGGUUGUAAACCGCUUUCGCCUGUGACGAAGCGUGAGUGACGGUAAUGGGUAAAGAAGCACCGGCUAACUACGUG
Molecule: ribosomal RNA, 468 nt
Filed under: uncultured bacterium
Lineage: Bacteria
Description: partial 16S ribosomal RNA
Rfam family: Bacterial small subunit ribosomal RNA
Source: RNAcentral